CCUACGGGAGGCAGCAGUAGGGAAUUUUCCGCAAUGGGCGAAAGCCUGACGGAGCAAUACUGCGUGAGGGAUGACGGCCUGUGGGUUGUAAACCUCUUUUCUCAAGGAAGAAGUUCUGACGGUACUUGAGGAAUAAGCAUCGGCUAACUCUGUGCCAGCAGCCGCGGUAAUACAGAGGAUGCAAGCGUUAUCCGGAAUCACUGGGCAUAAAGCGUCUGUAGGUUGUUUAGUAAGUCUGCUGUUAAAGACUGGGGCUUAACCCCAGAAAAGCAGUGGAAACUGCUAGACUCGAGUGUGGUAGAGGUAGAGGGAAUUCCUAGUGUAGCGGUGAAAUGCGUAGAUAUUAGGAAGAACACCAAUGGCGAAGGCACUCUACUGGGCCAUAACUGACACUGAGAGACGACAGCUAGGGGAGCAAACGGGGAUUAGAUACCCCCGGUAGUCCUAGCCGUAAACGAUGGAUACUAGAUGUUGCACGUAUUAACCCCGUGCAGUAUCGUAGCUAGUACGUAAGUAUCCGUCCGUCGGAGGUACGCGUCGCGAGAGUAGUAAACGUUAAAGUUAAGUAAGUUAGUUACGGUCGUUGUUAGACGUUGCCGACGGACGACGACGAGGGGAGGUUAGG
RNAcentral lists this ribosomal RNA (625 nucleotides) under uncultured bacterium. Its description in RNAcentral is "bacterial SSU rRNA". The stretch from base 1 to 522 matches the Rfam family "Bacterial small subunit ribosomal RNA", at positions 338 to 873 of the family's 1533-position model. The record is from RNAcentral.